Molecule: non-coding RNA, 190 nt
Organism: Oryza brachyantha (malo sina)
Lineage: Eukaryota; Viridiplantae; Streptophyta; Magnoliopsida; Poales; Poaceae
Source: Rfam
AAUAACCUUAUUUUUUAUUUUUCCGUGUCUAUCGUUUGACUAUUUGUCUUAUUUGAAAUUUUUUACGAUUAUUUUUUUUAUUAUUAUUAGAUAAUAAAAUAUGAGUAGUAUUUUAUAUGUGACUAUUUUUUUAAGUUUUUUACAAAUUUUUCAAAUAAGACGAAUGGUCAAACGUUGGACACGAAAAAAC